Molecule: ribosomal RNA, 316 nt
Filed under: Celyphidae sp. SNK-2008
Lineage: Eukaryota; Metazoa; Arthropoda; Insecta; Diptera; Celyphidae
Description: partial 12S ribosomal RNA
Source: RNAcentral
UAAAAAAUUUGGCGGUAUUUUAGUCUAUUCAGAGGAACCUGUUCUGUAAUCGAUAAUCCACGAUGGACCUUACUUAAAUUUGUCAAUCAGUUUAUAUACCGUCGUUAUAAGAAUAUUUUAAAAGAAUAAUAAUUUUCUAAAUUUUGAAGUUAAAAAGUAUAUCAGAUCAAGGUGUAGCUUAUAUUUAAGUAGAAAUGGGUUACAAUAAAUAUAUUUAUAUGGAAAUGAAAAUGAAAAAGUCGUUGAAAGUGGAUUUGAUAGUAAAAUUAUAAAGAUUAAUAAUUUGAUUUUAGCUCUAAAAUAUGCACACAUCGCC